UAAUUUGCAGAGGAUGCUUCUGGCGAGGUGCCUUCCGAGUUCCCUGGAACGGGACGCCACAGAGGGUGAGAGCCCCGUCUGGUCGGACACCGAGCCUCUGUGAAGCCCCUUCGACGAGUCGAGUAGUUUGGGAAUGCUGCUCUAAACGGGAGGUAUAUGUCUUCUAAAGCUAAAUACCGGCCAGAGACCGAUAGCGCACAAGUAGAGUGAUCGAAAGAUGAAAAGCACUUUGAAAAGAGGGUUAAACAGUACGUGAAAUUGUUGAAAGGGAAGCGCUCGCGACCAGACCUGGUCCCGGCGAAUCACCCGGCGUUCUCGCCGGUGCACUUCGGCGGGCUUCCAGGCCAGCAUCAGUCCGCGCCGGGGGACAAAGGCGGGGGGAACGUGGCUCCCCAGGGAGUGUUAUAGCCCGCCGCGCAAUGCCCCGGGGGCGGACUGAGGACCGCGCGUCACCGCAAGGAUGCUGGCGUAAUGGUCGCCAGCGACCCGUCUUGAAACACGGACCAAGGAGUCGUCCUCGUAUGCGAGUGUUGGGGCGUCAAACCCCCCGCGCGUAAUGAAAGUGAACGGCAGGUGAGAGCCCUCGCGGGCGCAUCAUCGACCGAUCCUGAUGUUCUCGGAUGGAUUUGAGUAGGAGCAUACGGGGCCGGACCCGAAAGAAGGUGAACUAUGCCUGUGUAGGGUGAAGCCAGAGGAAACUCUGGUGGAGGCUCGCAGCGGUUCUGACGUGCAAAUCGAUCGUCA
RNAcentral lists this ribosomal RNA (744 nucleotides) under Hypocrella narathiwatensis. RNAcentral's name for it is "Aschersonia narathiwatensis eukaryotic LSU rRNA". It matches the Rfam family "Eukaryotic large subunit ribosomal RNA", at positions 146 to 907 of the family's 3401-position model. The record is from RNAcentral. Lineage: Eukaryota; Fungi; Ascomycota; Sordariomycetes; Hypocreales; Clavicipitaceae.